GAUUCAAACUCAGGCAGUCUGAUGCCAGAGCAUGUGUUCUUAACACCACAUUUUACUAUCUCUCAAGGCUAAACAAGGUUGUUCAUGCCUGUGACAUUUAAAAUAGUAAAAUAUUAAUAAUAAACUUCAGAAAAAGGGAGAAAUAUUUGAAUAAGUUAAAACCACAGUUUUAAAGGCAUGAAAAUCUAUAUUUUAAAAUGAUAUUCAAUAGCAUAGGAAAGUCUUCACGACAUAGUAUCAAGAGAAAAGGCACAAUGUAAAAUGACACAGAGUGUUACCCCUGCUUUGCUUAACAACACAGGGUUUUGUACUUAUCUCCAUAUCAUCUAUCUCUGAAUGGGCACUGGGCUGGGUGCUGCAGAUACAAAGUUGAACAAGAUACAGUGCUUGAUUUUGAGGAAAUCACAGAGAUGUGAGGAUCCCAAGGUCAUGGGGAAAAGAUGAAAAUUACCAGUGGAAGGACUGAAGCUCAAGAAGCUAAUGAGUGGCAGAAGCUUCACUUAACCAGGUUCCUUGGAUUUUCAUCAAACUACAGCAGUUUCUUCUGUACCAUGAACCAGUUAUUCUAUUACACUACCGUGGCCAGAUCCUGGAUAGAAUUCUUUGUGGAACCAGAGGUCAGGUGGGUAGGGAGCAAGGAGGGAAGAGAACAUAAUUCAUUCCUGCGGAUCACAGUCUCCAGUUACUCCUGAUCUGAG
Molecule: long non-coding RNA, 698 nt
Organism: Homo sapiens (human)
Lineage: Eukaryota; Metazoa; Chordata; Mammalia; Primates; Hominidae
Exons: 4
Source: RefSeq, a predicted model, not a curated record